AUGGCUCUUCAGGCGGCCACUUCCUUCCUCCCGUCGGCCCUCUCUGCGCGCAAAGAGGGAGCGGCCAAAGACUCGGCCUUCUUCGGCGCUCGUCUCGCCGAUGGCCUCAAAUUCGACACCACCUCCCUGGGCUUGCGCACCAAGAGAGUGAACACGUCGUCGGUGGCCAUCCGCGCGCAGGCAGCGGCGGUGUCCGCGCCGACCGCGACCCCGGCGUCGCUGUCCGGCAAAAAGACCGUCCGCACGGGCAACGCGAUCAUUACGGGCGCGUCGUCGGGCCUCGGCCUCGCCACGGCCAAGGCUCUGGCGGAGUCAGGCAAGUGGCACGUCAUCAUGGCGUGCCGCGACUACCUCAAGACCGCGCGCGCAGCCAGGGCGGCCGGCAUGCCCAAGGGCAGCUACACCAUCGUGCACCUGGACCUGGCCUCCCUCGACAGCGUCCGCCAGUUCGUCAAGAACGUGCGCCAGCUCGACAUGCCCAUCGACGUCGUCGUCUGCAACGCCGCCGUGUACCAGCCCACCGCCAAGGAGCCUUCCUUCACCGCAGACGGCUUCGAGAUGAGCGUCGGCGUCAACCACCUCGGCCACUUCCUCCUCGCCCGCGAGCUCCUCGAGGACCUCAAGGCCUCCGACUACCCGUCCAAGCGCCUCAUCAUCGUCGGCUCCAUCACCGGGAACACGAACACGCUUGCCGGGAACGUGCCGCCGAAGGCCAACCUGGGCGACCUGAGGGGCCUGGCGGCCGGGCUGAACGGCGUGGGCAGUGCCGCCAUGAUUGACGGCGCGGAGUUCGACGGCGCCAAGGCAUACAAGGACAGCAAGGUGUGCAACAUGCUGACCAUGCAGGAAUUCCACCGGCGGUACCACGAGGAGACCGGCGUGACCUUCGCGUCGCUCUACCCGGGGUGCAUCGCCACCACUGGGCUCUUCCGUGAGCACAUCCCGCUGUUCCGCCUUCUCUUCCCGCCGUUCCAGAAGUACAUCACCAAGGGGUACGUGUCCGAGGAGGAGGCCGGCAAGAGGCUGGCGCAGGUCGUCAGCGAGCCCAGCCUCACCAAGUCUGGCGUCUACUGGAGCUGGAACAAGAACUCGGCGUCCUUCGAGAACCAGCUUUCCGAGGAGGCCAGCGACACCGAGAAGGCAAGGAAGGUAUGGGAGCUCAGCGAGAAGCUCGUCGGACUCGCAUGA
This 1188-nucleotide ribosomal RNA is filed under the name Triticum aestivum (bread wheat). RNAcentral's name for it is "partial small subunit ribosomal RNA". The record is from RNAcentral. Lineage: Eukaryota; Viridiplantae; Streptophyta; Magnoliopsida; Poales; Poaceae.